Molecule: non-coding RNA, 93 nt
Organism: Glossina morsitans morsitans
Lineage: Eukaryota; Metazoa; Arthropoda; Insecta; Diptera; Glossinidae
Source: Rfam
GGGGGUAGUUUUUAGUACGUAAGCGCCAUGGAUGGCGAAUCGUGCAUGCUGCUACUAAGAACCAGCAGUAUCUUUUGAAGAUUUUCUACCUCC